GACGAACGCUGGCGGCGUGCCUAAUACAUGCAAGUUGAGCGCUGAAGGUUUGUACUUGUACCCACUGGAUGAGCAGCGAACGGGUGAGUAACGCGUGGGGAAUCUGCCUUUGAGCGGGGGACAACAUUUGGAAACGAAUGCUAAUACCGCAUAAAACUUUAAACACAAGUUUUAAGUUUGAAAGAUGCAAUUGCAUCACUCAAAGAUGAUCCCGCGUUGUAUUAGCUAGUUGGUGAGGUAAAGGCUCACCAAGGCGAGGAUACAUAGCCGACCUGAGAGGGUGAUAGGCCACAUUGGGACUGAGACACGGCCAAAACGACUACGGGAGGCAGCAGUAGGGAAUCGUCGGCAAUGGACGAAAGGCUGACCGAGCAACGCCGCGUGAGAGAAGAAGGGUUUCGGAUCGGAAAACUCUGUUGGUAGAGAAGAACGUUGGUGAGAGUGGAAAGCUCAUCAAGUGACGGUAACUACACAGAAAGGGACGGCUAACUACGUG
RNAcentral lists this ribosomal RNA (496 nucleotides) under uncultured bacterium. RNAcentral describes it as "partial 16S ribosomal RNA". It matches the Rfam family "Bacterial small subunit ribosomal RNA", at positions 28 to 507 of the family's 1533-position model. The record is from RNAcentral.